UGACCUAAACCCUCACCAGAGUAACAAUUGGAGGGCAAGUCUGGUGCCAGCAGCCGCGGUAAUUCCAGCUCCAAUAGCGUAUAUUAAACUUGUUGCAGUUAAAAAGCUCGUAGUUGAAUUUUUGCGUGGUGUUAACAUUGACUGAUGUCGAGAUUGCACUUCGCUUUUGGGAUUUUUCCCUUUUUACUUUGAGAAAAUUAGAGUGUUUCAAGCAGACUUUUGUCUUGAAUACUUCAGCAUGGAAUAAUAGAGUAGGACUUUGGUUCUAUUUUGUUGGUUUGUGAACCUUAGUAAUGGUUAAUAGGAACGGUUGGGGGCAUUCGUAUUUAACUGUCAGAGGUGAAAUUCUUAGAUUUGUUAAAGACGAACUACUGCGAAAGCAUUUGCCAAGGACGUUUUCAUUAAUCAAGAACGAAAGUUAGGGGAUCGAAGACGAUCAGAUACCGUCGUAGUCCUAACCAUAAACUAA
RNAcentral lists this ribosomal RNA (469 nucleotides) under Babesia capreoli. Its description in RNAcentral is "SSU rRNA". It matches the Rfam family "Eukaryotic small subunit ribosomal RNA", at positions 521 to 1040 of the family's 1831-position model. The record is from RNAcentral. Lineage: Eukaryota; Apicomplexa; Aconoidasida; Piroplasmida; Babesiidae.